RNAcentral lists this long non-coding RNA (244 nucleotides) under Elaeis guineensis (African oil palm). Its description in RNAcentral is "long non-coding RNA (EGUI_LNC029087)". Lineage: Eukaryota; Viridiplantae; Streptophyta; Magnoliopsida; Arecales; Arecaceae. The record is from RNAcentral.
GAGUGAAAGAAGUAAAGAUAGGAUCCAAACAUUCCUUCUCACAAUUAAUCGAGGCUCCCUUCAUGGGACCAUAGAUUGGAGGCAACCUCCCGAUGGAGGACCUCUAGUAGCAUCUCAAGUGCCAUGGAAGAAUCCAAUGCCCUAAAGGUGCGGAGAAAGGACCAAGUCCGCAAGCAGACAAAGCCAGACCCAAAGGUAUGGGGCCAAGCCCACAUUUCCGUGCUGCAACCUUCCCGUCCGUGAC